UACGUAGGCAGCAAGCGUUGUUCGGAAUCACUGGGCGUAAAGGGUGCGUAGGCGGUUGCGCAAGUCUGGAGUGAAAGGCCGCGGCUCAACCGCGGUGGGGCUCUGGAAACUGCGCGACUUGAGUGCUGGAGAGGCAAGGGGAAUUCCGCGUGUAGCGGUGAAAUGCGUAGAUAUGCGGAGGAAUACCGGUGGCGAAGGCGCCUUGCUGGACAGCGACUGACGCUGAGGCACGAAAGCGUGGGGAGCAAACAGG
Molecule: ribosomal RNA, 253 nt
Filed under: uncultured bacterium
Lineage: Bacteria
Description: partial 16S ribosomal RNA
Rfam family: Bacterial small subunit ribosomal RNA
Source: RNAcentral